UACGGAGGAUGCGAGCGUUAUCCGGAUUUAUUGGGUUUAAAGGGUGCGUAGGCGGGAUGCCAAGUCAGCGGUAAAAAUGCGGUGCUCAACGCCGUCGAGCCGUUGAAACUGGCGUUCUCGAGUGGGCGAGAAGUAUGCGGAAUGCGUGGUGUAGCGGGGAAAUGCAUAGAUAUCACGCAGAACUCCGAUUGCGAAGGCAGCAUACCGGCGCCCUACUGACGCUGAGGCACGAAAGCGUGGGUAUCGAACAGG
This 252-nucleotide ribosomal RNA is filed under the name uncultured bacterium. Its description in RNAcentral is "partial 16S ribosomal RNA". It matches the Rfam family "Bacterial small subunit ribosomal RNA", at positions 524 to 776 of the family's 1533-position model. The record is from RNAcentral.